This 4572-nucleotide long non-coding RNA is filed under the name Equus caballus (horse). RNAcentral describes it as "lncRNA (ENSECAG00000053239.1)". Lineage: Eukaryota; Metazoa; Chordata; Mammalia; Perissodactyla; Equidae. The record is from RNAcentral.
UUUAAAAUUCUUUAUUUUUAAAUAAAGUUUAAAAGUAAUGUGAGUAGUGUAAAAUAUUCAAAUACAGAAAUGUAUAAAGUUGAAAAUCUCAUGUAAUCUACACUGUUCAAAGAAAGCCAUUAAUAGACUUUUCUAUGCAUUAUAAACAUAAAUAUGCACAUUUUUAAAUGAGUUCAUACAUUUUCCUGUCAAUAGUUUGUUUCACUUAAUAUAUUAUGGCCAUUUUUCCAUGUCUACACACAAUAAAUUUACUUCAUCCAUUUUAACAGACACCUAGAUUUUCUUUUAUGGCUGAACCAUGUGUUAUUUAACCAAUCCUUUUGAUAAACUUUUAAGUUUUCUUCUACAUUUUUCUACCAUGUAAUUUUCAUACUUCUGUAGUAACUUGAAUAUUGUCAGUUCCUGUCUCAUUUUGCGUUCCGAUUUGGAAGAUAAUUUCAGUAUGGCCAUAAGCUCUAAUUUAAUAAAUACUUGGAUCUGUCAAGUUUCGAUAUUGGUAGAUACUGUAUCAGGUAGGACUCAAUUUCAAGCAAGAGAAACCCAACUCAAAGUAACUUAAGCAAAACAGGGUAUUUAUUGGUUCACAUAACUGAAAAGUCCAGGGGAUAUACUAGCUUCAGGCACGGUUGGAUCCAGGGGCACAAACUUUGUUAUCAGGACUCAAGUCUCUCCAUCAUUUGGCUCUGCUUUCUUCUGCACUGGCACUUUCUGACUGGCUCAUUUGAUAUGGUGGGCCCUGGUGGUUUGAGUUUUUCAUCUUACAAAGCUAAGCGACUUCAAUAAAGAGAGCUUCUGAGCUUCUCCUCCUCCACAGUUCAGUAAAAUUCCUGGGCUUCAGUAUCACUAGACCAACUUGAAUCACAUGAACAUUCCUGAACCAAUCACUACAGUCAAGGAGAUGGACUAUGCUGAUGGAUCAGGUCUGAACCAUGUGGACUGAAAACAGGUAAAUAUGGUUCCAAGAAACAUCAGGGAGUUGUUACAAAGAGAUGGAAUGGAUGCUGGUCAAUCAAAAACAACUCCUGCCAAUGAUAAGACCAGAUAACGCAAAAGUUUAAUCUCUGGUCAUAAAGUUGAUGCUAACAUUGUUACUUCCUCGAUAAUACUCUGGAAGAACAUCAUGAGGAGUAAGUUUGUCCUGUUCACAGGAAGUUUGUAAUCCAUUUGAAUGAAACAAUCAUGUUCAAUAGCAUACUCUGGAUGAUACAACAGAGUUUCAAUAUAAGUAAACUCAGUGGUCAUGAGUCUGAAGGCCCAACUGUCUUGCUGACAUAAAGCAGGAUAACUAGCCUCCCACCAGUGAACAGUUCUGUGAGGCUAUUCAAGUCAGUGGUAAAUUUUAAGUUCAGUGGAAGAGUUUUCUUGUGUUAAGUCUUUUGCCAAGUUGAACUGGUACAUUUCUGUGAGUGCUGAUGAAUCAGACUCAUCUCUGUAUUAGUGCACGAGAGAGGAAUGGACAAUGAUUUCAAUCUGCUGUACUCCUGCAGAUCUGAUCAAAGGGGUCCCAGGUGCUGAAAACAAUCAAAUACAGGUGUAGAGGCUUACUCUGCACUUAACAACAAGAAAAAGCUGUUGGUCAAGGAUUACACAGAAUGGUCCUUCCUGUUGUGAACAUUAAGUCCUGGUAGGCUGAGGUGCAGGUUGCUUCUGUUCAAAAUUCCUUGGUGGGCCUGGGUAUAAGUUAGGCCAAGAUCACUGGUAGUCUUCUCAAGCACAGUCAGUCUGUUUGCAGCAACAUGUCCAAAAAGGCAGGCAAGGGCUGAAUCAGGUAACCAGGCAAGUAGGGUACCAUCAGCAGGGCCAGCCAUACUAUUAGCCAGACGUGAUCUGGAAGAACAGGAUGAUGACUAUUGAAGCUCUGUAAAUCAGUUCUUAUCCUGAGUACUCCAGGGUUAAUCCACAGGCUUUACUCUGGAUACAUUUUUCUGAUCUUAAAGGGCCAGUCAGGCACAGCAGCUUUCAUUUUCCUGUUCAUUUCCCCAGAGCUUUCAGCUCAGGAGACGGCUUUAUCCUCAAUUCAGACUUGAGGUUCUGUUUAGGAACCUAUGCUACAUCUGGGAUUGAUAAGGUUGGGAGAGCCAGGUUUAUCAAGAUUGGCCCUACUUUCUUUGGUAAUCAAGUCUCCAUCCUCUGUAACUCAGCCUAUCUGUGAGAAUCACCUUAUAUAUAAGUCAAGGCCUCAGAUUGGUUGACUGAUGAGAUCUGAGGCAUGGAGAUAGUAGGCAAGAUACUAGGUUUGAGUUUCAGGCGUUUUGGUUUUUCAACCAUCAACUCUUAUACAGUGUUCAUUAGACUCUAGAACAGACGAUCAUCCUCAUUCUUAAGCCCCUCAUUUUGACAGGAUUAAAGGGAAUGACUGGCAGUGUAGAUGAAUAUCUUUUUCUGUAAAGUACAGAGAAAGAGAAAAUUGAGCUGACGUUUUGAAGGUAGUAGAAAAACUUAGUUUGUAGAUGAUUUCUUCUUUACAAAUAAUAGUUGUAUAUACAAGCAGGCUAGUCAUCAGAUUUUUUAUUUGUUGAGGGUGAACAGUCUAGAGUAAACAGACUUAGGCCUUGUUUGAUGAUUUGUAGACCCAGUCAUGUAACCACCAUAAGGAUAAGAGACAAAGACAUAAAGAAACCUUUCCCAACAUUUAACCAGUGCAUUUGUUAAAGUAGUUGAGGACAGCUGGCCCUUACGUUGACUGUGUAGUAAAGGAAUGAGAUUUCUUUCAUGACACAAAUCGAAGUCUACUUGUUUGAUGUGAUUUGGUCUGGGAGUUCAUAAAUGGAAUCCUUCCUGCAGAAACAGAUAAAUUGUCUUAAAGCCUGAGAAUAUCUCACGGCAAGGAAUGAAGUCAGCCACUGUGAAUAAGUGUGAAACAACAGCACUGAGACAGAUGAAAUUCCAUUAAAACAUCCACAAGGACGAGGGACUGUGGUCUUGUGACAUUAAGCAGCAGCAGCAGGAAGCUCUUGAGUCUACUGAUAAUACUUAGCUGCAAGCUUUGUAGACUUUUUUUCAAGUCAUUCUACAUUUCCACCAAAAAGGUAGAUGAUAUGCAAUUUGAGAUGCCAAGCAAGUCAGUCAUCAUGGCCUGGCCAACAGGCCUACCUCCAAAUAUCCCUAACAUCUAUACUUGAUAGUACCAGACAUCAAAAGAUCUAUCUUAAAAGAACAUCCCUUGUGGGCUAGAAGAAAAUUUUCCAAACAGCCACAUUUUAAAUUACACCCAAGUAAGGAUAUUCAAAGAUUGUCUCUUGUGGAUCGGGGUUACAUGCAGUUAGAGCUGAGUAUUCAUAAUUUUUGGAACAGAACAGGCAGAAAUGCCAGUGAUGGAGAAAUUGUUUUAACUUUUUUUUUUAAGGUUAUUAGCUCAUUUAUCUUGGAAACAGCAGUUAAACUGAAUAAAAACCAAGGAGCAGUGUAACUGCCACUGGUUGAGUCACAGUGACUUGUAGUUUAAGAUGAAUGAUAACCAGGUACCCUUUUAGGUAACGUUGCCAGUAUCUGAAUUUUGCUUUCAUAGUUAAUGGUUAUCCCUUGCACACGAAGUACAGUACCAUGGCCGAUGACGGGAGGUUCAACGUACAAGUUGGUCUAAUAUGGCCUCAAUGAGGCAUCAACUUCAAUAUCAGCUUCAAUACCUGGCAAUUCAGGUAUCUAAGGAGGAUCAAGACUUCCAAGUCAUGUAUUUCAAGUACCACUAGAACAUCUGGUGUGUGUGAAAGAAGUUGGGUAAAGGGGUUUGUCAGUGUAGAGUACAUAUGAAUUGUUCUCUGGUUCUAUCCAAUUCCAGGAAUGAGUGGAAGUCCAUCUAGGGCAGAGGGCUGUUAAUCUAGGUCCAUCUGAUACCACUUUCAGCCCAUAUGACUCUGGGGGGCAAAGACACGCCCAUCUUCUUGGCCUUUUCUGAGUUGGCUCAUAGUUAGUAUCCCUUAGAAUGUUCGGCAACAACUGAACUUGGACUGUUUCGGCAGAGGUAUAGAUGAAAAUGUCAUUCAGGUCGAACAUAUUGCUGUCUAGGGCAGUGGUUUUCAAACUGUGUUCUGCAGAAUUCUAGCUGUUGUAAAGAAGUCUCCUUAGGUGUCACCAUGGUGGUAAAAGAAGAUGCUUGUGGCAGGUUUCAGGCCCCCUACUCCUGCUUCAUCCAGAGCAGCUUCACUCUUACUCUGGGCUUCCACACAGUUUUCAUUCAAAGGGCUUCACGGCCACAAAGCCUUUGGAAAACCAAUGAUCUAAGAAUAAGGUGUUCACAAAAUGCUGAAAUACAAAAAAUAGGUCUGCUAUAAAUUCUGAUUGCCUGAAAUUGAGCUUGUAAGUGACUAUCAUAGAACAAGACUAUUGGUCUUAAGUGACAAUAGCACUGGGGUUUUUAGUCAGCAUACAGCUGCAAAAUGCCUUCAUUUCUUUGUAAAUAUUAUUCCAAGAAGUCCAUAGCAUAGCUGGAUGACUUCUCUUCAAGCACUGAUAAGAUCUCAAUGGGCCACAACUCAAAUUCUAAGAAAAAGUAUCUGCUUCUCACCCCUCCUCCCCCUUUUCUCCAUCCUUUUCCUCCUCCCUUCCCUUCCCAAUCUCCUCACCCACCUGAGA